Long non-coding RNA from Arabidopsis thaliana (thale cress), 791 nucleotides. RefSeq annotates it as other RNA. The record is from RefSeq. The transcript has a single exon. NCBI's taxonomy places the organism in Eukaryota, Viridiplantae, Streptophyta, Magnoliopsida, Brassicales, Brassicaceae.
CAGGAAAUGAAAGUUGAACCAGAUAACAUUCAAACAUAAAUGCAAUGCUCUUUGAAAUCAACACUGACUCAAAAACUGAUAUAAUUCUGCAACUAAAUGAUUACAGCUUUCUCAAUGAGGCCAUCGUAGACAAAACAUUGAACUUACAUUGCAAAAACGUGCCAGCGCGAGAUCUUUCGGUCAUAGUUGCUGUGAAGAUGAGUCAAUUGUAACUCCAGGAUUCAUAGUUUGCUUACCAUUCUGAAUAUGAGUAAGAGAAAUCCAAUCUUCCAACAUUCUCGCUUCUGCAGUAUCAAUGAGGUAGUAUCUGUUGACAUCAGGCAACAGUUCAUCCCUCUAUUAGCAUUUGGCAGAAACAGGUCACCAUAUUACUUCCAAAAUACGCUUAUUUAGCCUCCUAAGACUUGGUUCCUUCUGAAGAAACUUUGUUGAAGAAUUUAGUUAUUGAAGCUUGCUUUGGGCCUCCAGAUUCUACCUUAGAAGAAGCUUUUCCUUUCUUCUUUGGUUUACCUUUAAUCUUUCUGUUCCUCUUCACAGGAGAAAUACUGCUCUUCUGUGAACUACUCAUGCUCUUAAGCUUGUGAAACUGCGAUGGCUGACAACUUUCACUCCGCUCUGUUUCACAGUGAAUAAACUCCAGUUUCGAAACAAAUGCAUCGUGGUUACUCGAACUAAUUCCAUCUCUAGAAGUGAAAGAUAUAACAGCAGAAACUUGCUCAUAGAAUUUAGUCUCGUGCUCGUAAAAAUUAUCAACAAUUUCGACUAUAUUCCUACAUGUCCCUCUAAUCAUA